This 513-nucleotide ribosomal RNA is filed under the name uncultured fungus. RNAcentral describes it as "SSU rRNA". It matches the Rfam family "Eukaryotic small subunit ribosomal RNA", at positions 569 to 1085 of the family's 1831-position model. Lineage: Eukaryota; Fungi. The record is from RNAcentral.
AGCAGCCGCGGUAAUUCCAGCUCCAAUAGCGUAUAUUAAAGUUGUUGCAGUUAAAAAGCUCGUAGUUGAAUUUCGGGAUCAGACUGUCGGUCGUGCCUCGGUACGCACUGGCAUUAUUGGUUCCUACCUUCUGAAGAACCGCGAUGUCAUUAAUUUGGUGUCGCGGGGAAUCAGGACUGUUACUUUGAAAAAUUAGAGUGUUUAAAGCAGGCGCACGCUUGAAUACAUUAGCAUGGAAUAAUGAAAUAGGACGUUUGAUUCUAUUUUGUUGGUUUCUAGGAUCGACGUAAUGAUUAAUAGGGAUAGUUGGGGGCAUUAGUAUUCAAUUGUCAGAGGUGAAAUUCUUGGAUUUAUUGAAGACUAACUACUGCGAAAGCAUUUGCCAAGGAUGUUUUCAUUAAUCAAGAACGAAAGUUAGGGGAUCGAAGACGAUCAGAUACCGUCGUAGUCUUAACCAUAAACUAUGCCGACUAGGGAUCGGAUGAUGUUAAUUUUAUAAUGACUCAUUCGGCG